This 253-nucleotide ribosomal RNA is filed under the name uncultured bacterium. RNAcentral describes it as "partial 16S ribosomal RNA". It matches the Rfam family "Bacterial small subunit ribosomal RNA", at positions 524 to 776 of the family's 1533-position model. The record is from RNAcentral.
UACGGAGGGUGCAAGCGUUAAUCGGAAUUACUGGGCGUAAAGCGCACGCAGGCGGCUUGGUAAGUUAGAUGUGAAAGCCCCGGGCUCAACUCGGGAACUGCAUCUGAUACUGGAAAGCUUGAGUCUAGUAGAGGUGAGUAGAAUUCCGAGUGUAGCGGUGAAAUGCGUAGAGAUUCGGAGGAAUACCGGUGGCGAAGGCGGCCCCCUGGACGAAGACUGACGCUGAGGUGCGAAAGCGUGGGGAGCAAACAGG